This 803-nucleotide ribosomal RNA is filed under the name uncultured Alphaproteobacteria bacterium. RNAcentral describes it as "bacterial SSU rRNA". It matches the Rfam family "Bacterial small subunit ribosomal RNA", at positions 45 to 887 of the family's 1533-position model. The record is from RNAcentral. Lineage: Bacteria; Pseudomonadati; Pseudomonadota; Alphaproteobacteria.
UGCUUUAUACAUGCAAGUCGAACGAAGGCCCUAGCUUGCUAGGUGUCCUUAGUGGCGCACGGGUGAGUAACACGUGGGAACAUACCUUAUAGUACGGAAUAACUGCGGGAAACUGUAGCUAAUACCGUAUAUUCCAGCAAUGGGAAAGAUUUAUCGCUAUAAGAUUGGCCCGCGCAAGAUUAGCUUGUUGGUGAGGUAAAAGCUCACCAAGGCUUCGAUCUUUAGCUGGUUUGAGAGGAUGAUCAGCCACACUGGGACUGAGACACGGCCCAGACUCCUACGGGAGGCAGCAGUAGGGAAUAUUGGACAAUGGGGGCAACCCUGAUCCAGCAAUGCAGCGUGAGUGACGAAGGCCUUAGGGUUGUAAAACUCUUUCAUCGGUGAGGAUAAUGACAGUAGCCGAAGAAGAAGGACCGGCUAAUUCCGUGCCAGCAGCCGCGGUAAUACGGAAGGUCCUAGCGUUGUUCGGAAUUACUGGGCGUAAAGCGCAUGUAGGCGGAACAGAAAGUUAGAAGUGAAAUCCCUGGGCUCAACCUAGGAAUUGCUUUUAAAACUUCUGUUCUGGAAUUCAGGAGAGGAAAAUGGAAUUUCCAGUGUAGAGGUGAAAUUCGUAGAUAUUGGAAGGAACACCAGUGGCGAAGGCGAUUUUCUGGACUGAUAUUGACGCUGAGAUGCGAAGGCAUGGGUAGCAAACGGGAUUAGAUACCCCGGUAGUCCAUGCAGUAAACGAUGGGUGCUAGUCGUCGGACUUUUGUUCGGUGUCGUAGCUAACGCGUUAAGCACCCCGCCUGGGGAGUACGGUC